AGUGAACGCUGGCGGUAGGCCUAACACAUGCAAGUCGAACGGCAGCACAGUAAGAGCUUGCUCUUACGGGUGGCGAGUGGCGGACGGGUGAGGAAUACAUCGGAACCUACUUUUUCGUGGGGGAUAACGUAGGGAAACUUACGCUAAUACCGCAUACGACCUACGGGUGAAAGCAGGGGAUCUUCGGACCUUGCGCGAUUGAAUGAGCCGAUGUCGGAUUAGCUAGUUGGCGGGGUAAAGGCCCACCAAGGCGACGAUCCGUAGCUGGUCUGAGAGGAUGAUCAGCCACACUGGAACUGAGACACGGUCCAGACUACUACGGGAGGCAGCAGUGGGGAAUAUUGGACAAUGGGCGCAAGCCUGAUCCAGCCAUACCGCGUGGGUGAAGAAGGCCUUCGGGUUGUAAAGCCCUUUUGUUGGGAAAGAAAAGCAGCAGGUUAAUACCCCGCUGUUCUGACGGUACCCAAAGAAUAAGCACCGGCUAACUUCGUG
Molecule: ribosomal RNA, 492 nt
Filed under: uncultured bacterium
Lineage: Bacteria
Description: partial 16S ribosomal RNA
Rfam family: Bacterial small subunit ribosomal RNA
Source: RNAcentral